RNAcentral lists this unclassified non-coding RNA (87 nucleotides) under Pseudomonas azotoformans. Lineage: Bacteria; Pseudomonadati; Pseudomonadota; Gammaproteobacteria; Pseudomonadales; Pseudomonadaceae. The record is from RNAcentral.
GUGGGAGGGGGCUUGCCCCCGAUGGCGGUGGGUCAGCAACAUAAAUUGUGGCUGAUACACAGCAAUCGGGGGCAAGCCCCCUCCCAC